UUCUGUUUAGCUCAGUUGGUAUAGCUCUCCCCUGUAAAUGGAAAGGUCCCUGGUUUGAUACCAGGACCAGGCG
Molecule: transfer RNA, 73 nt
Filed under: Ixodes scapularis (black-legged tick)
Lineage: Eukaryota; Metazoa; Arthropoda; Arachnida; Ixodida; Ixodidae
Description: tRNA-Tyr for anticodon GUA
Rfam family: tRNA
About the family: Transfer RNA (tRNA) molecules are approximately 80 nucleotides in length. Their secondary structure includes four short double-helical elements and three loops (D, anti-codon, and T loops). Further hydrogen bonds mediate the characteristic L-shaped molecular structure. tRNAs have two regions of fundamental functional importance: the anti-codon, which is responsible for specific mRNA codon recognition, and the 3' end, to which the tRNAs corresponding amino acid is attached (by aminoacyl-tRNA synthetases). tRNAs cope with the degeneracy of the genetic code in two manners: having more than one tRNA (with a specific anti-codon) for a particular amino acid; and 'wobble' base-pairing, i.e. permitting non-standard base-pairing at the 3rd anti-codon position.
Source: RNAcentral